GAUAGUCAAUGUGUGGGUCAAAUUAAUUUUAUUUUUGUUCCCGUUCUCUUCCCACUAUCCUCAUUCUUUCCAUUUUUUUUGUUUUCUCUGACGUUUUCUUUCCUUUUCCUUUCAUUUGUUGCCAUCUUCUUUUGUUGUCGUCCCUUGCUGAUGUUUCUUCAUUGCCACCUUAUCUUCUAUCGUGUCGCCGUCUAGAUUGCAUUUUCCCCAUUAAAGUUUGUCGAUUUAAUUAUGGUUGCGAUUCUGCUAGGGGUGGAUCGUAAGGCUAUACACUUCCGGCGAGUUGAGGAUUUUGGAAAUUUCUUUUCUCUUCAAGGGUAAGUUUUCAAAACAUCAAUUUAGGAGCUGGUUUGCAAUGAUUUAGCUUACGAAGGUCGAAUGCCUUCUAUUAAUAGGUUAGGGCGUAUAGGCCCACCUCAGGCAGACUUGUUCGAAUGUAGGUUUUGGAAUAACAAUCUUUUUGUAUCUGAAAAAUGGUUAUGAAGUAAUCGUCUGGUAUGUUAGUGUUGUAAGUAUAAUUUAUGAAAAUAUGCUAAGUUUUGUAAAAUGACAUAUCUGAUCUAUAAAUCCAUACUCAUCGUUGGCAUCUUUUUGUUCUACUAUGUUCAUAUAUGAGCACGAGAAAUCUGAGUAUGUUAUUCUAACUAUAUAUGAACCUGUUAUAUGAUCAUGCAUGUGACAUUAUGGCGAAAUUGUUUUGGUAUGGUUAAUAUUUGACGCAUAUAUGUUCUAUAAAGCAUGGAAUCCCAUGCCUACUGAUUCUUUUUUUUUGUAUAAGACUGCAUAUUCUACAUUCUUUUGUUCUGAUUUCGUAUUUACAUGUCAUGUCACAUUACAUGGGGUUGGGAUGAUAUGGUAAGGAGGAAGUUCUGACAGUUUAAUUAUCUACAUUAUCUGGUGGUUUAACCACAUACCUGUUCUAGCAUAUGAAAUAUAGUGGCAUGACCACAUAUUUUGACAAUUUAUCUGCAUUAUUCCUGGUGGCUUUGUUAACAAUU
This 998-nucleotide long non-coding RNA is filed under the name Gossypium barbadense (sea-island cotton). RNAcentral's name for it is "long non-coding RNA (GBAR_LNC020418)". Lineage: Eukaryota; Viridiplantae; Streptophyta; Magnoliopsida; Malvales; Malvaceae. The record is from RNAcentral.